GGAUGUGAGGGCAGUCUGGCAGAGAUAUCUGUCACUGUUGAUCACCAGGGUUGACUUGGUUGAUUUGGCUGGCUGGGCAGGUAUCUACUUCCUGGCCCACUGCUCCAUAUGUGUCCCUCCCAAAGCUGUGCAGUCAGUCAAAGAGAACAACCACCCUUGAUAGAGGAGGACCAUUUCCUUGGUCAAGGGCAUAUGAGUAGCUGCACUCUCCUGCUACAACCUCCAAACAAGUGCUGUUUUUUCCUCUCCUCCUUUCUUGUUCACCAAUUUAUUGGGGGUUGGGGAAUUUUCUUUUG
RNAcentral lists this small RNA (296 nucleotides) under Chinchilla lanigera (long-tailed chinchilla). RNAcentral describes it as "7SK RNA (ENSCLAG00000022043.1)". It matches the Rfam family "7SK RNA", at positions 1 to 249 of the family's 331-position model. Rfam says of the family: 7SK was discovered as an abundant small nuclear RNA in the mid-70s but a possible function has only recently been suggested. Two independent studies have found that 7SK RNA binds the CDK9/cyclin T complex (known as elongation factor P-TEFb). The record is from RNAcentral. Lineage: Eukaryota; Metazoa; Chordata; Mammalia; Rodentia; Chinchillidae.